UGGAGCUGGAGAUGCCCCUCAGCUAUGUGAAUAAGUACAUCUCAGAGAUCUACAUAAAGAUGAUGAAGCCAUGGGUGAUUCUGUGCCUUCACAGUGCCCUGGAAUGUGCCUGCUCUGCACCUGGGGCAGUUUGGUGGAGUUAGGCUGACUUCAGACAGGAUGAUCUUCUACGACUUUUCUGCGACUUCAAAAGAGAGGUCAGACAUCUCCGUGUCCUGAAUUUCUCUGCAACAGCAAAUACUGCCCCAGUCUGAUCCCGUCACUGCAGCUCCCACUUUGUAAAAAACACGUAGUG
Ficedula albicollis (Collared flycatcher) is the source of this 295-nucleotide long non-coding RNA. RefSeq lists it as uncharacterized. The record is from RefSeq and is a predicted model, not a curated record. NCBI's taxonomy places the organism in Eukaryota, Metazoa, Chordata, Aves, Passeriformes, Muscicapidae. The transcript is spliced from 3 exons.